UACGUAGGGGGCAAGCGUUGUCCGGAUUCAUUGGGCGUAAAGAGCUCGUAGGCGGCUUAGAAAGUCGGUCGUGAAAUGCCGAGGCUCAACCUCGGAAUGCCGAUCGAAACUUCUAUGGCUAGGGUCCGGUAGAGGAGAACGGAAUUCUCGGUGUAGCGGUGAAAUGCGCAGAUAUCGAGAGGAACACCAGUAGCGAAGGCGGUUCUCUGGGCCGGUACCGACGCUGAGGAGCGAAAGCGUGGGGAGCGAACAGG
This 254-nucleotide ribosomal RNA is filed under the name uncultured prokaryote. RNAcentral describes it as "partial 16S ribosomal RNA". It matches the Rfam family "Bacterial small subunit ribosomal RNA", at positions 524 to 776 of the family's 1533-position model. The record is from RNAcentral.